Molecule: ribosomal RNA, 1591 nt
Filed under: Gefionella okellyi
Lineage: Eukaryota; Malawimonada; Malawimonadea; Malawimonadida; Malawimonadidae
Description: small subunit ribosomal RNA
Rfam family: Bacterial small subunit ribosomal RNA
Source: RNAcentral
UUAUAAUUAAUAUGAGUUUGAUCCUAGCUCCGAAUGAAUGCUAGUAAUAUGCUUAACACAUGCAAGUUAAAUAAUUUUUUAUAAAUUUAAAAAAUAAUAGCGUACGGGUGAGUAAUAUAUUAGAAUUAAUAUAAUUAUUUAGAAUAUCUAUAUUAUAUUAUAAAAAAUAUAAGAAUAUUAAAAGAAAUUUUAAUAAUAGUAAAACUAAAUAUAAAAAAAAAUUAAUUGUAAUUAAUUAAGCUAAUAUAAGAUUAUGAUAGUUGAUAAGAGAAAAGCUUACCAAGUCUAUGAUCUUUAAUUGAUUUGAGAAAAUGAUCAAUCACAUUGGAACUGAAAAACGGUCCAAACUUCAUAAGAAGGCAGCAGUGAGGAAUAUUGGACAAUGAACAAAAGUUUGAUCCAGCAAUAUUACGUAAGUGAGAAUGAAGCUUAAAUUGAGUGUAAAACUUAUUUAUUUAAAAAUAAUAAUGAUAAUAUUUAAAAUAAAGUUCCGGCUAACUCUGUGCCAGCAGCCGCGGUAAUACAGGGGGAACAAGUAUUAUUCAAAAUGACUUGGCGUAAAGAGCAUAAAGAUGGUUUAUUUAAACAAUAAAAAAAAAGAUUAAAAUAGUUGUUUUAAUAUUUUUAUAAUUUUAAAAAACUUGAGUAUAAAAAAAGAUAAUAGAAUUAUUAAUGUAGGAUUAAAAAACAAUAAUAUUAAUAAGAAUAUCAAAAGCGAAGGCAAUUAUCUAGAUUAUUACUAACAUUAAAAUGCGAAAGAAUAGGGAGUAAAUGGGAUUAGAUACCCCAGUAAUCUAUUCUGUAAAUGAUGAAUAUUAAAUAUUAAAUAGAAAUUUAGUAUUAAAGUUAACACAUUAAAUAUUCCGCCUGGGAAAUACGAUCGCAAGAUUAAAACUCAAAGGAAUUGACGGGAAUCUAUACAAGCGGUGGUGCAUGUGGUUUAAUUCGACAAUACGCGAAAAACCUUACCAAUUUUUGUAUAUUAAAUAAAUAAUUAAUAAUUAAAUUAUUUAGAUAAAAUUUAAUACAGGUGUUGCAUGGUUGUCGUCAGUUCGUGUUGUAAGAUAUUCGAUUAAUUUCUUUUAACGGGCGUGACCCUUAUUAUUAAUAUAAAUAUAUAAUAUUAUUUAAUUAAUAUAUAUAUAUCUUAAAAAAACAGUUUAUGAUAAAUAAAAGGAAGGUAAGGAUAACGUCAAAUCUUCAUGACCCUUAUAAAUUGGGCUACACACUUGCAACAAUAGUAAUUACAAAAAGAAGCAAUUUUGUAAAAAGGAGCAAAACUUUAAAAAUUAUUUUAGUUCAGAUUAUUUUUUGCAAUUUAAAAAUAUGAAGGAGGAAUCGCUAGUAAUCAUAAAUUAGUAUGUUAUGGUGAAUAUGUUCUUAGAUUUUGUACACACCGCCCGUCACACUAUGGAAAUGAUAUUAUUUUUAAAAUUAAAUAUUAAAUAAUAAUAGAUAAUUAUAAAUUAUAUAUUCAUUUAUUUAAUUUAUUAUUUAUUAUUAUUAUAUAUUUAAUUCAUUAAUGAUUAUUAACUAGAGUGAAGUCGUAACAAGGUAAUUGUAGGGGAACCUGUAGUUGGAUUAUCUAAAA